Molecule: ribosomal RNA, 568 nt
Filed under: uncultured archaeon
Lineage: Archaea
Description: bacterial SSU rRNA
Rfam family: Archaeal small subunit ribosomal RNA
Source: RNAcentral
CGGGGUGCAGCAGGCGCGAAAACUCUACAAUGCAGGCAACUGCGAUAGGGGAACAUCGAGUGAUACUCAUAUUGGGUGUCUGUCCCACCGUCUAAAAAACGGUGGUUAGCAAGGGCCGGGCAAGACCGGUGCCAGCCGCCGCGGUAAUACCGGCGGCUCGAGUGGUGGCCGAUAUUAUUGAGUCUAAAGGGUCCGUAGCCGGCUUUGCAAGUCUUUUGGGAAAUCCAGCGGCUUAACCGUUGGUCGUCCGGGAGAUACUACAUUGCUUGGGACUGGGAGAGGUAGGAGGUACUCAGGGGGUAGGAGUGAAAUCCUGUAAUCCUUUGGGGACCACCGGUGGCGAAGGCGUCCUACCAGAACAGGUCCGACGGUGAGGGACGAAAGCUAGGGGCACGAACCGGAUUAGAUACCCGGGUAGUCCUAGCCGUAAACGAUGCUCGCUAGGUGUCACAACAAUCGUGAAUUGUUGUGGUGCCGUAGGGAAGCCGUGAAGCGAGCCACUUGGGAAGUACGACCGCAAGGUUGAAACUUAAAGGAAUUGGCGGGGGAGCACAAGGGCGAAUCGCGG